CUAUCUAUUUCUGUUAGUACGUUUGACAUAUUAAUCACUCCACUUUAACGCAAUAUAUUUUAUUAGCGUUGGCUAUUGUUGUUUAACGCGAUGGUAUUUACAACUUGUAACGUAAGAGAAUGAAAAAUAAGCUGAAUAUGUUGUUUGUUUAAUGA
This 155-nucleotide small RNA is filed under the name Staphylococcus aureus. Its description in RNAcentral is "Transcript". The record is from RNAcentral. Lineage: Bacteria; Bacillati; Bacillota; Bacilli; Caryophanales; Staphylococcaceae.